Molecule: non-coding RNA, 30 nt
Filed under: Cricetulus griseus (Chinese hamster)
Lineage: Eukaryota; Metazoa; Chordata; Mammalia; Rodentia; Cricetidae
Source: RNAcentral
CUAAUUUUUUGAGGUCCUGCUCCUGGCGGG